CCUUGUACACACCGCCCGUCACACCAUGGGAGUUGGCUUUACCCGAAGACGGUGCGCUAACCGCAAGGAGGCAGCCGGCCACGGUAAGGUCAGCGACUGGGGUG
This 104-nucleotide ribosomal RNA is filed under the name uncultured bacterium. Its description in RNAcentral is "partial 16S ribosomal RNA". It matches the Rfam family "Bacterial small subunit ribosomal RNA", at positions 1379 to 1482 of the family's 1533-position model. The record is from RNAcentral.